CAGAGCAUGAAGACUCUCCUGGAGUCGCU
Molecule: small RNA, 29 nt
Filed under: Bombyx mori (domestic silkworm)
Lineage: Eukaryota; Metazoa; Arthropoda; Insecta; Lepidoptera; Bombycidae
Description: ovarian small RNA-13132
Source: RNAcentral